AGCUGAUCACUGGGCGUAAAGCGUGCGCAGGCGGUUUUGUAAGACAGAGGUGAAAUCCCCGGGCUCAACCUGGGAACUGCCUUUGUGACUGCAAGGCUGGAGUGUGGCAGAGGGGGAUGGAAUUCCGCGUGUAGCAGUGAAAUGCGUAGAUAUGCGGAGGAACACCGAUGGCGAAGGCAAUCCCCUGGGCCUGCACUGACGCUCAUGCACGAAAGCGUGGGGAGCAAACA
RNAcentral lists this ribosomal RNA (230 nucleotides) under uncultured Alicycliphilus sp. Its description in RNAcentral is "partial 16S ribosomal RNA". It matches the Rfam family "Bacterial small subunit ribosomal RNA", at positions 550 to 774 of the family's 1533-position model. The record is from RNAcentral. Lineage: Bacteria; Pseudomonadati; Pseudomonadota; Betaproteobacteria; Burkholderiales; Comamonadaceae.